CGAGAGUUUAACAACUUUAACCAUUUUUCUAAGUAAAUUGAUGACAGUCACCCCUCCUGUGCAGAAGGUCUAUGGAACAGCAGUUCUUUGCUCUCUAGUAAUUCCGUGUUGAGCCUCGUAUUAGCUACGUGGGAGUCACUUAGCUGGAACGACAGGCAACAGAAAAAUUCUCUUUCUAAGGCCAACAUUGCCCCCUUCUGCUGUAAACCGGACAAGACAUGCAACUUUCCGAUUUCCAAGUUCCUGUUUUUUUGGCAUGCCAUCCAGAAAUGGUAUCAGCUGCUCCCUUCCCAUAAGCAUCACCAGACUCCCAAAACGAUGGGGAAAGAAGUCAAAAGAGAUCUGUGAGAGCCUCCUCUGAAGGCUAUGACCAGCUGCUUUUUCACAGCCUUCCAAACACCUACUUGAACUAUGAUCCCAAGAAGCCGCUUUCAAACAAGACUUCUUUGAUUUUAUUAUUCAAUACACUGUUUAAGUUGAAUCUCAGCUGGAAUGGAAAGACUAUUGUUUUUAGUAUUAAAAUAAAAGUUAAGUUUGUAUGAUGAUGUCCA
This 551-nucleotide long non-coding RNA is filed under the name Anser brachyrhynchus (Pink-footed goose). RNAcentral describes it as "lncRNA (ENSABRG00000004077.1)". Lineage: Eukaryota; Metazoa; Chordata; Aves; Anseriformes; Anatidae. The record is from RNAcentral.